RNAcentral lists this ribosomal RNA (548 nucleotides) under Amolops panhai. RNAcentral's name for it is "partial 16S ribosomal RNA". It matches the Rfam family "Bacterial large subunit ribosomal RNA", at positions 1817 to 2597 of the family's 2925-position model. The record is from RNAcentral. Lineage: Eukaryota; Metazoa; Chordata; Amphibia; Anura; Ranidae.
CGCCUCCUGAUAAACAUAGGAGGUCCAGCCUGCCCAGUGACAACGUUCAACGGCCGCGGUACCCUAACCGUGCGAAGGUAGCAUAAUCACUUGUUCUUUAAAUGGGGACUCGUAUCAAAGGCACCACGAGGACUAUACUGUCUCCCCUCUCCAAUCAGUGAAACUGAUCCCCCCGUGAAGAAGCGGGGAUUCAACUAUAAGACGAGAAGACCCCAUGGAGCUUUAGACUUAAUAUACACCCUUGCACAACAUAACAGUAAAGCUAUUAAGAUAUGUAUAUUGUCUUCGGUUGGGGGGACCGCGGAGUAAAACUUAACCUCCACGACAAACGGGUUAACACCCUUAUCCAAGAAACACAUUUCUAAGAGUCAAUAAAUUGUUGUUUAUGACCCAUUUUAUGAUUAACGAACCAAGUUACCCUGGGGAUAACAGCGCAAUCUACUUCAAGAGCCCCUAUCGACAAGUAGGUUUACGACCUCGAUGUUGGAUCAGGGAAUCCCAGUGGCGCAACCGCUACUAAUGGCUCGUUUGUUCAACGAUUAAACCCU